CAAAGAAUAGUUUAAGAAAAAUAAUAAUUUUGGAGAUUAUUGAUAAUAGGUUUAUUUUCUUUGA
Molecule: transfer RNA, 64 nt
Filed under: Chimarra sadayu
Lineage: Eukaryota; Metazoa; Arthropoda; Insecta; Trichoptera; Philopotamidae
Description: tRNA-Pro
Source: RNAcentral